Long non-coding RNA from Condylura cristata (star-nosed mole), 683 nucleotides. RefSeq lists it as uncharacterized. Lineage: Eukaryota; Metazoa; Chordata; Mammalia; Eulipotyphla; Talpidae. The record is from RefSeq and is a predicted model, not a curated record. The transcript has 3 exons.
CCGAGCGUUCCGUCUCUUAGUAACCAGUCACUAGCCACCUGGCCCACCACUUCUGACUUCUGGCGAGCAGCUGCCGCACCUGGAUGGAACACGCAUGCGCAGAGCUGUAGCUCUUGCCUCAGUCCUUCUUCUGCUAACACCUGCUGCUUCGCUGCCCCGGCUUUGCGUCAUUUUUCCCAAGGAUCGGGCACAAUUCUGGACCUACGUACAGUGAACCGGUUGCUCCCCAGAACGGCGCUCUGGCGCUCGGAGGUCCUUGUGCUCUCCUGCCACAGCGCAGAGCCAGUUUGAGGGGCUGCCUUCUGCUGCUGCAUCCUCUCUCGGUGAGAGCCUGCCUGGCCUGUUUUGGUGAACCCUGGCAGCCUGCAGUCCGUGGACUCUAAGCUCAUUUCAGUCCUGCACGAUUCAGUCAGAGUUGAAUCGGGAAAUAUCAGAUUGCGGACCUAUUUUCUCCAUAUGGCAGUUCUCCGAAUUCCCUUUCCCUUAAAAUUUGGUAAUAAUUAACAAAAGAGAAGGUUUUUGUAACUGUUCUCUGACGAUCGUCAAAUACUGUACACCUGUGCACUUCAAAAGUAGUCUCUCACUUGAAGAUACUGUUUUGCCAGCUGUCAAGUUGAAGAAAUACUUCCACUACAUAAAGCAGUUCCUGAAAACCAUCUUGAUAUUUGUUCAGCUGACCCAAU